GCAGGGGUGGCUGAGCGGUCAAAGGCGCCGGACUUAAGCUCCGGUCUCAAUGAGUUCGUGGGUUCAAAUCCCAUCCCCUGCACCA
This 85-nucleotide transfer RNA is filed under the name Methanobacteriota archaeon. RNAcentral's name for it is "Euryarchaeota archaeon (marine metagenome) tRNA-Leu". It matches the Rfam family "tRNA". Rfam says of the family: Transfer RNA (tRNA) molecules are approximately 80 nucleotides in length. Their secondary structure includes four short double-helical elements and three loops (D, anti-codon, and T loops). Further hydrogen bonds mediate the characteristic L-shaped molecular structure. tRNAs have two regions of fundamental functional importance: the anti-codon, which is responsible for specific mRNA codon recognition, and the 3' end, to which the tRNAs corresponding amino acid is attached (by aminoacyl-tRNA synthetases). tRNAs cope with the degeneracy of the genetic code in two manners: having more than one tRNA (with a specific anti-codon) for a particular amino acid; and 'wobble' base-pairing, i.e. permitting non-standard base-pairing at the 3rd anti-codon position. Lineage: Archaea; Methanobacteriati; Methanobacteriota. RNAcentral also lists the same sequence under 1 other name. The record is from RNAcentral.